UAGGGAAUCUUCCACAAUGGACGCAAGUCUGAUGGAGCAACGCCGCGUGAGUGAAGAAGGUUUUCGGACCGUAAAGCUCUGUUGUUGGUGAAGAAGGAUAGAGGUAGUAACUGGCCCUUUAUUUGACGGUAAUCAACCAGAAAGUCACGGCUAACUACGUGCCAGCAGCCGCGGUAAUCGUAGGUGGCGAGCGUUGUCCGGAUUUAUUGGGCGUAAAGCGAGCGCAGGCGGAAGAAUAAGUCUGAUGUGAAAGCCCUCGGCUUAACCGAGGAAUUGCAUCGGAAACUGUUUUCUUGAGUGCAGAAGAGGAGAGUAGAACUCCAUGUGUAGCGGUGGAAUGCGUAGAUAUAUGGAAGAAUACCAGUGGCGAAGGCGGCUCUCUGGUCUGCAACUGACGCUGAGGCUCGAAAGCAUGGGUAGCGAACAGGAUUAGAUACCCUGGUAGUCCAUGC
Molecule: ribosomal RNA, 452 nt
Filed under: uncultured bacterium
Lineage: Bacteria
Description: partial 16S ribosomal RNA
Rfam family: Bacterial small subunit ribosomal RNA
Source: RNAcentral